Long non-coding RNA from Capsicum annuum, 852 nucleotides. RefSeq lists it as uncharacterized. The record is from RefSeq and is a predicted model, not a curated record. NCBI's taxonomy places the organism in Eukaryota, Viridiplantae, Streptophyta, Magnoliopsida, Solanales, Solanaceae. The transcript is spliced from 3 exons.
AGAAACUUAUAUUUUAUUAUUAAAUAAUUUAUAUUAAAUAUUUCAAAACUUUCCCAAUUAUCUCUGUCUCACUACCGUGUCUCUCUCUCUCUAAAAAACUAGGGUGUCACUGCGUUGUCAAUUUCACCCGAUUGAAGUACUUCUCCGGUAUAGCUCCGGUCUCAUCUCCCUUAGACGGCCAUCCCGUCUCCAAGAUCUGUACGCAGACGUUUUUAUAGCCGAUUGAAGCUAAAGCAGAGUGAAAGGGAACCAAAUAAGAAUAUGAAAAUGGGGAAAAAAAGUCCACUUUUUCUGAGGACUACGAAGAGACGCAUCGGAAGAUAAAGGACGGUACAAGAGGAGAUUGGGUUGAAACGCUUGCUAAGAUUGCAUAUAAUUUCAAAAAAGUAUACAAGAUUGGCGUCAAAUCCAACCUACUUCAGAGGAUGGUACCAUGGUCCAACCAUCACCUGCAGAUAUGACUAAUAUGUGGACAGCUGUGGUAGGUGGUCCGAAAAAAGGUAGAACCUAUGGGAUAGGGGUUCUCCAAUCCUCGCGUAGUCCUUCGUUGUUUCUCAGUUCCUCUUCUACUUUGCAAACCAUGGAAGAAAUGGAAGCGAUGAAAAAGCAAAUGUGGAAUUGAUGCAGCAAUAUGCAGCUAACGAUGCUAAGUUUGCUAAAUUUGAGAAGUUGGUUAAGAAACACAUGCCUCAAGUAUUUCAUGAUGAGGAAGAGAGUGAAUUUGAUGAUAAUUAGAUUGUAGUUCUUGUUUUUGUUUUUGGUUGUGACAUUUAGAUGUUUAAACUAUUUGAUUUGAUGUUUGUUUUGGAUGUUUUAAAGUGGUUACAUUUAUAAAUAUUUGUCGUCGUCGUA